AAUGAACGCUGGCGGCAGGCCUAACACAUGCAAGUCGAGCGACCACACCGUAAGCUCUUGCUCUUGCGGGUGGCGCGUGUCGGACGGGUCCCUCUUCCAUCGCAUACUCCUUUUUCUUUGGGAAUAACGUCGGACCAGUUCUGCUACUGCCUCAUAUAUCCUCCAGGUUUCUGCCCGCGUUCUUCUCGGCUUUCGCGGUUGUAUUAGCCGAUGUCGCCUUAGCUAGUUGGCGGGGUAAAGGCCCACCUAGGCCACGCUCCGUAGCUGGUCUGAGAGGAUGAUCAGCCACACUGGAACUGAGACACGGUCCAGACUCCUACGGGAGGCAGCAGUGGGGAAUAUUGGGCAAUGGGCGAAAGCCUGAUCGAGCAACACCGCGUGGGUGAAGAAGGACUUCGGGUGGUAAAGCCAUGUUGUUGGGAAAGAAAAAAAGCAGGUUAAGAUGGGGAUGUUAUGACGGUACCAAAAGAAGAAGCACCGGCUAACUACGUG
Molecule: ribosomal RNA, 492 nt
Filed under: uncultured bacterium
Lineage: Bacteria
Description: partial 16S ribosomal RNA
Rfam family: Bacterial small subunit ribosomal RNA
Source: RNAcentral